UUGUUUGAGUAUCAUG
This 16-nucleotide ribosomal RNA is filed under the name Ceratobasidium sp. TAR-2006a. Its description in RNAcentral is "partial 5.8S ribosomal RNA". The record is from RNAcentral. Lineage: Eukaryota; Fungi; Basidiomycota; Agaricomycetes; Cantharellales; Ceratobasidiaceae.